AUUGAACGCUGGCGGCAGGCCUAACACAUGCAAGUCGAGCGAGCGGCGGACGGGUGAGUAAUGUAUGGGGACUGCCCGAUAGAGGGGGAUAACUACUGGAAACGGUAGCUAAUACCGCAUACUAUCGGAUAACCCAUAUGGGAUUAGCUAGUUGGUGAGGUAAUGGCUCACCAAGGCGACGAUCCCUAGCUGGUCUGAGAGGAUGAGCAGACACACUGGGACGGUGACAAGGCCCAGAGGCCGACGGAGGGAGCAUUGGGCAAUAUUGGCCAAUGGGCGCAGGCCUGAUGCAGCCAUGGCGCGUGUAUGAAGAAGGCCCUAGGGUUGUAAACCUCUUUCGCUAUCGGACGGGUAGGUGGAGAAGAAGCGCCGGCUAACUACGUGCCAGCAGCCGCGGUAAUUC
This 403-nucleotide ribosomal RNA is filed under the name uncultured bacterium. RNAcentral describes it as "partial 16S ribosomal RNA". It matches the Rfam family "Bacterial small subunit ribosomal RNA", at positions 30 to 526 of the family's 1533-position model. The record is from RNAcentral.